Molecule: ribosomal RNA, 500 nt
Filed under: uncultured bacterium
Lineage: Bacteria
Description: partial 16S ribosomal RNA
Rfam family: Bacterial small subunit ribosomal RNA
Source: RNAcentral
AUUGAACGCUGGCGGCAGGCCUAACACAUGCAAGUCGAGCGGAUGAAGAGAGCUUGCUCUCUGAUUCAGCGGCGGACGGGUGAGUAAUGCCUAGGAAUCUGCCUGGUAGUGGGGGACAACGUUUCGAAAGGAACGCUAAUACCGCAUACGUCCUACGGGAGAAAGUGGGGGAUCUUCGGGCCUCACGCUCUCAGAUGACCCUAGGUACGAUUAGCUAGUUGGUGAGGUAACGGCUCACCAAGGCGACGAUCGUUAACUGGUCUGAGAGGAUGAUCAGUCACACUGGAACUGAGACACGGUCCAGACUCCUACGGGAGGCAGCAGUGGGGAAUAUUGGACAAUGGGCGAAAGCCUGAUCCAGCCAUGCCGCGUGUGUGAAGAAGGUCUUCGGAUUGUAAAGCACUUUAAGUUGGGAGGAAGGGCAGUAAGUUAAUACCUUGCUGUUUUGACGUUACCGACAGAAUAAGCACCGGCUAACUUCGUGCCAGCCGCCGCGGUAA